UAUUGGCAGAACAACAAUACAAAGUAAAAGCUUUAUUUUAAUUUUUUUUUUUUAAGUUAUUCAGGUGUAUUCAUUUUGAAACACAUCAAGUAAUAUUCAGUUUUUUUUUUCCAGCCUCUCAAUGACAGGUACAUAUUAGUAAGAUACAAAUCACCCUCCACCCUUUAUUUAUUAACCUUAUUAUUUAUUUUUAUUUACCACAAAAUAUUUGAUAUUUGAAGGGCAAAACUUUACAACGUCACAAAUCUGUUAACGUUCUAGCAAAAUUUGCACAAUUUAGUCCACUUCCAUUUUAAGAUCUCCAGAUUUAUCUUCUUCUUUUUCAUCUUCUUU
Long non-coding RNA from Ctenopharyngodon idella (grass carp), 333 nucleotides. RefSeq lists it as uncharacterized. The transcript is spliced from 2 exons. The record is from RefSeq and is a predicted model, not a curated record. Lineage: Eukaryota; Metazoa; Chordata; Actinopteri; Cypriniformes; Xenocyprididae.